CAUCAUGGCCCUUACGAGUAGGGCUACACACGUGCUACAAUGGCGUAUACAGAGGGCAGCGAUACCGCGAGGUGGAGCGAAUCUCACAAAGUACGUCGUAGUCCGGAUUGGAGUCUGCAACUCGACUCCAUGAAGUCGGAAUCGCUAGUAAUCGCAAAUCAGAAUGUUGCGGUGAAUACGUUCCCGGGCCUUGUACACACCGCCCGUCACACCAUGGGAGUGGGCUGCAAAAGAAGCAGGUAGUUUAACCUUCGGGAGGACGCUUGCCACUUUGUGGUUCAUGACUGGGG
This 290-nucleotide ribosomal RNA is filed under the name Vibrio cholerae. RNAcentral's name for it is "partial 16S ribosomal RNA". It matches the Rfam family "Bacterial small subunit ribosomal RNA", at positions 1191 to 1480 of the family's 1533-position model. Lineage: Bacteria; Pseudomonadati; Pseudomonadota; Gammaproteobacteria; Vibrionales; Vibrionaceae. The record is from RNAcentral.